RNAcentral lists this ribosomal RNA (490 nucleotides) under Cutaneotrichosporon moniliiforme. RNAcentral's name for it is "eukaryotic LSU rRNA". The stretch from base 119 to 272 matches the Rfam family "5.8S ribosomal RNA". Lineage: Eukaryota; Fungi; Basidiomycota; Tremellomycetes; Trichosporonales; Trichosporonaceae. The record is from RNAcentral.
GUGGUGAUGCUCUCUGAGCGUUAACUAUAUCCAUCUACACCUGUGAACUGUUGAUUGACUUCGGUCAAUUACUUUUACAAACAUUGUGUAAUGAACGUCAUGUUAUUAUAACAAAAAUAACUUUCAACAACGGAUCUCUUGGCUCUCGCAUCGAUGAAGAACGCAGCGAAAUGCGAUAAGUAAUGUGAAUUGCAGAAUUCAGUGAAUCAUCGAAUCUUUGAACGCAACUUGCGCUCUCUGGUAUUCCGGAGAGCAUGCCUGUUUGAGUAUCAUGAAAUCUCAACCAUUAGGGUUUCUUAAUGGCUUGGAAUUGGGUGUUGCCAGUCGCCUGGCUCGCCUUAAAAGAGUUAGCGUGUUUAACUUGUCUAUCUGGCGUAAUAAGUUUCGCUGGUGUCGGCUUGAGAAGUACGCUUCUAAUCGUCCUCGGACAAUUCUUGAACUCUGGUCUCAAAUCAGGUAGGGCUACCCGCUGAACUUAAGCAUAUCAAAA